CAAUUGGCGGCACUUUUACCUGUGUGCAUAUCAAUCGACUCUGAAAUAAGCCUGCUUGAUUCUUCUCUUUUGGAUCAUCUCGAUCAAAUCGGUAGGUCUGCUUCAUUCUUCUUCUCCCUCUUAACAGUUAAUUGUACAAGAAAAACAAAAACAGUAACCCUCUUUUUAACUUAUCAAACUUUUUCAGACAUAUCGGAUUUGGACAACUAUGUUUUUUCGAGUUCACCUAGUUCUUCGCCCAGUUCUUCACCACCACCGGUUUUAGAGCGAGCUACAGGCAAGAACAUCCGUCUCUCGACCCGCGAGAGGCAGGCCUUGCUUUCUGCAAGGGCUUGCCCAGCUUCAGCUCCCCAGCGUCCCUCGGGGAAAAACCUGAAUCUAACCGCCUGGGAGAGGGAACAACUGUUCGCGGCACACGCUCCCAGUCCCGGCUUCGGAGCUUCUCCUCCUGCAUCGGGGCCAAGACAUCCACAGUCCCUGCCUCGGAGAUCCAAUCUAGGUCAGUCACUCUCGCUUUUUCUUUUUCUCUCAUUUUAUAAAAAACUAUCGCCUUUUCUAUUAAACAUCACUAACUAAUUUGCAUCUUACCCCUCAAUUUCUUAGGGCAUCUCAGAAGGAGGCGUAGGAGGACCAUUAGGCCACUCAGGACAAGGCAAACACGCAGACAGCGAAACCAGCUCGCCUCCAUCGCUCUUCGAGCUGUAUCUCUGUUCGCUGAAUUAGUGCAACUCAUCUUAUAAUAAGGUUUUAUUUUAUUCUAUUGUUUUUAUUUUUUAUUUUUCUAAUUCUUUAAAAAAAAAAUAUAUAUACGUAUAUAUACAUAUAUCUAUAUAUAUAUAUAUAUAUAUAUAUAUACACGUGUAUAUAUAUAUAUAUAUAUAUAUAUAUUUCGCAGCUCUAAAUAGCGCUUUAGAAGCCUUAGCACAAAUACAGCACGAGGUGCAAAUACCUCCAGAAUUACUGAGUCAAAUAAACAGGUUAAAUCAAAAUAUUUUUAAUGAUAGCCAGCAUUCGCUCAGCUCUACACCACGCAGUGAGUCUGUUAACCACAGUCCACCCCCACCGUUGUUAAGCGGUUUCAACAAUAGUCCACAUUUGCUCAGUUCUCCCCCAAUAAACAAUGCUCACGAUCAGCCCUUUCAACAAGGGGGUAAUCCAGACCAGAGCUGCGCCAGCAAUUCAUCACAACCAUCUAUAGUUGUCAGAAAUAAAUUUAAUAACGUUCAAAUUAGAGAAAUUUUGAAUUUCCCUCCUCCAAACGAUAUACCUGAUUAUG
RNAcentral lists this long non-coding RNA (1276 nucleotides) under Oreochromis niloticus (Nile tilapia). Its description in RNAcentral is "lncRNA (ENSONIG00000037938.1)". The record is from RNAcentral. Lineage: Eukaryota; Metazoa; Chordata; Actinopteri; Cichliformes; Cichlidae.